UCCUUGUCGGGUAAGUUCCGACCUGCACGAAUGGCGUAACGACUUCUCAACUGUCUCAACCAUAGACUCGGCGAAAUUGCACUACGAGUAAAGAUGCUCGUUACGCGCGGCAGGACGAAAAGACCCCGGGACCUUCACUAUAGCUUGGUAUUGGCGUUUGGUUCGGUUUGUGUAGGAUAGGUGGGAGACUGUGAAGCAGGCACGCCAGUGUUUGUGGAGUCAUCGUUGAAAUACCACUCUGAUCGUAUUGAACCUCUAACCUCGGACCGUAUAUCCGGUCCAGGGACAGUGCCUGGUGGGUAGUUUAACUGGGGCGGUUGCCUCCCAAAAUGUAACGGAGGCGCCCAAAGGUUCCCUCAACCUGGACGGCAAUCAGGUGUUGAGUGCAAGUGCACAAGGGAGCUUGACUGCGAGACCUACAAGUCAAGCAGGGACGAAAGUCGGGACUAGUGAUCCGGCACCUCUGAGUGGAAGGGGUGUCGCUCAACGGAUAAAAGGUACCCCGGGGAUAACAGGCUGAUCUUCCCCAAGAGUCCAUAUCGACGGGAUGGUUUGGCACCUCGAUGUCGGCUCGUCGCAUCCUGGGGCUGGAGCAGGUCCCAAGGGUUGGGCUGUUCGCCCAUUAAAGCGGCACGCGAGCUGGGUUUAGAACGUCGUGAGACAGUUCGGUCUCUAUCCGCCGCGCGCGUCAGAAACUUGAGGAAACCUGUCCCUAGUACGAGAGGACCGGGACGGACGAACCUCUGGUGUACCAGUUGUUCCACCAGGAGCACGGCUGGAUAG
Molecule: ribosomal RNA, 783 nt
Filed under: Mycobacteroides abscessus subsp. bolletii
Lineage: Bacteria; Bacillati; Actinomycetota; Actinomycetes; Mycobacteriales; Mycobacteriaceae
Description: bacterial LSU rRNA
Rfam family: Bacterial large subunit ribosomal RNA
Source: RNAcentral